RNAcentral lists this ribosomal RNA (174 nucleotides) under uncultured Nocardioides sp. RNAcentral's name for it is "partial 16S ribosomal RNA". Lineage: Bacteria; Bacillati; Actinomycetota; Actinomycetes; Propionibacteriales; Nocardioidaceae. The record is from RNAcentral.
AUUACCGCGGCUGCUGGCACGUAGUUGGCCGGUGCUUCUUCUGUACCUACCGUCACUCUCGCUUCGUCGGUACUGAAAGAGGUUUACAACCCGAAGGCCGUCAUCCCUCACGCGGCGUUGCUGGAUCAGGCUUCCGCCCAUUGUCCAAUAUUCCCCACUGCUGCCUCCCGUAGG